GGGGUUGUGGCUCAACGGUAGAGUGCUCGCCUAGCACAUGCGAGGCCUUGGGUUUAAUCCUCAGUACCCCA
RNAcentral lists this transfer RNA (71 nucleotides) under Marmota monax (woodchuck). Its description in RNAcentral is "tRNA.Ala". Lineage: Eukaryota; Metazoa; Chordata; Mammalia; Rodentia; Sciuridae. The record is from RNAcentral.